RNAcentral lists this ribosomal RNA (403 nucleotides) under uncultured bacterium. RNAcentral describes it as "bacterial SSU rRNA". It matches the Rfam family "Bacterial small subunit ribosomal RNA", at positions 355 to 775 of the family's 1533-position model. The record is from RNAcentral.
UAGGGAAUAUUAGUAAUGGGCGAAAGCCUGAACUAGCAACGCCGCGUGUGCGAAGAAGGCCUUCGGGUUGUAAAGCACUUUUUGAGAGGAUGAGGAAGGACGGUACUCUCAGAAUAAGUCUCGGCUAACUACGUGCCAGCAGCCGCGGUAAUACGUAGGAGGCAAACGUUAUCCGGAUUUACUGGGCGUAAAGCGCGUGUAGGUGGUUUGCUAAGUAGGGCGUGAAAGCUCCUGGCUCAACUGGGAGAGGCCGUUCUAAACUGCCGGACUAGAGGAUGGUAGAGGGAGGUGGAAUUCCGGGUGUAGCGGUGGAAUGCGCAGAUAUCCGGAGGAACACCAGUGGCGAAAGCGGCCUCCUGGACCAUUCCUGACACUCAGACGCGAAAGCUAGGGUAGCAAACGG